Molecule: ribosomal RNA, 275 nt
Filed under: uncultured bacterium
Lineage: Bacteria
Description: partial 16S ribosomal RNA
Rfam family: Bacterial small subunit ribosomal RNA
Source: RNAcentral
CCUACGGGUGGCUGCAGUAAGGAAUAUUGGUCAAUGGAGGCAACUCUGAACCAGCCAUGCCGCGUGCAGGAAGACGGCCCUACGGGUUGUAAACUGCUUUUAUACGGGAAUAAACCUCUUUACGUGUAAAGAGUUGAAUGUACUGUAAGAAUAAGGAUCGGCUAACUCCGUGCCAGCAGCCGCGGUAAUACGGAGGAUCCGAGCGUUAUCCGGAUUUAUUGGGUUUAAAGGGUGCGUAGGCGGCCUGUUAAGUCAGGGGUGAAAUUUUUCGGCUC